Molecule: ribosomal RNA, 253 nt
Filed under: uncultured bacterium
Lineage: Bacteria
Description: partial 16S ribosomal RNA
Rfam family: Bacterial small subunit ribosomal RNA
Source: RNAcentral
UACGGAGGGCGCAAGCGUUAUCCGGAAUCAUUGGGCGUAAAGCGCGUGUAGGUGGUUUGGCCAGUCGGAUGUCAAAGGCUGGAGCUCAACUUCAGAACUGCAGUCGAUACUGGCCGGCUAGAGUCCCGGAGAGGGUGGUGGAAUUCCCGGUGUAGAGGUGAAAUUCGUAGAGAUCGGGAGGAACAUCAGCGGCGAAGGCGGCCACCUGGGCGGUGACUGACGCUGAGGCGCGAAAGCGUGGGGAGCAAAAAGG